GGUUGAUCCUGCCAGUAGCAUAUGCUUGUCUCAAAGAUUAAGCCAUGCAUGUCUAAGUACAAGCCGCUAGACGGCGAAACCGCGAAUGGCUCAAUAAAUCAGUUAUGGUUCCUUAGAACAGUCAAUCCUACUUGGAUAACUGUGGUAAUUCUAGAGCUAAUACAUGCACCCAAGCCCCGACUCGGGGGGCAACUCUCGAGAAAGGGCGCUUUUAUUAGAUCAAAACCAGUCGAGAGCUUCGGCUCUCGUUAAGUUUGGUGACUCUGGAUAACUUCACGCUGAUCGCACGGUCUUCGCACCGGCGACGAUUCUUUCAAAUGUCUGCCUUAUCAACUGUCGAUGGUAGGUUAUGCGCCUACCAUGGUUGCAACGGGUAACGGGGAAUCGGGGUUCGAUUCCGGAGAGGGAGCCUGAGAAACGGCUACCACAUCCAAGGAAGGCAGCAGGCGCGCAAAUUACCCACUCCCGGCACGGGGAGGUAGUGACGAAAAAUAACGAUACGGGACUCUUCCGAGGCCCCGUGAUUGGAAUGAGUACACUUUAAAUCCUUUAACGAGGACCCAUUGGAGGGCAAGUCUGGUGCCAGCAGCCGCGGUAACUCCAGCUCCAAUAGCGUAUAUUAAAGUUGUUGCGGUUAAAAAGCUCGUAGUCGGAGUUCUGUCUUCGGCCGAGGGGGGAUUCUGCCUACACGGUAUGAGUCUCGUUCCCUUUGGGUGUGCGGUGUCAAAGCCGUGCACUCUUAACGGUCGGACAAGUCCGUCGGAGUGUGGUUAUUGUUGGAAGGGCAACCGACCAAUGAGGCCACCGUAAUCGUUCGGGGUGCCUUUAAUCGGGUGUCUCGGGCGGCCGACAUAGUUUACUUUGAACAAAUUAGAGUGCUCAAAGCAGGUGACUACCGCCUGAAUAGUACAGCAUGGAAUGAUGAAAGAGGACCUCGGUCUGAUUUUGCUGGUCUUUAACGGUCGGGCUUCGGCCCGGCCUAUGCAGACCCGAGGUAAUGGUCAAUAGAGACGGACGGGGGCAUCCGUACUGCGGCGACAGAGGUGAAAUUCUUGGACCGCCGCAAGACGAACGACAGCGAAGGCAUUUGCCAAGAAUGUUUUCCUUGAUCAAGAACGAAAGUUAGAGGUUCGAAGGCGAUCAGAUACCGCCCUAGUUCUAACCAUAAACGAUGCCAACUAGCGAUCCGCCGGUGUUACUCCCAUGACUCGGCGGGCAGCUUCCGGGAAACCAAAGUCUUUGGGUUCCGGGGGAAGUAUGGUUGCAAAGCUGAAACUUAAAGGAAUUGACGGAAGGGCACCACCAGGAGUGGAGCCUGCGGCUUAAUUUGACUCAACACGGGAAACCCCACCAGGCCCGGACACUGGAAGGAUUGACAGAUUGAGAGCUCUUUCUUGAUUCGGUGGGUGGUGGUGCAUGGCCGUUCUUAGUUGGUGGAGCGAUUUGUCUGGUUAAUUCCGAUAACGAACGAGACUCUAGCCUGCUAAAUAGGUGCCGGG
Molecule: ribosomal RNA, 1499 nt
Filed under: metagenome
Description: SSU rRNA
Rfam family: Eukaryotic small subunit ribosomal RNA
Source: RNAcentral